UCGCCUACUUGGGGCAGAUGCCGGGCGGGUCUCCCGCGAAACCCGCCCCACUGACAUCCCUACUCCCUCUCCUUCCUUCUCUCUUUCUCCAGCCUUCAUCCCCUUCCUCUCCUGUUUUUGCUUCCAAUGAGCACCUACAGCUCUUUUCCGUCAGGAGCAGUCUCAAAAUAAUUGAGAUAUACUGAUGGCAGUCUUCUUUCGUGGUUUUGUUGAUAGAUUGUCAUUUCCUUUUUCAGAAGAAUUCAAUACACAGAAAAUUCAAAAGGAAAACAACGGGGUCUAGAAAUUGGAAAACCUAAGAAGUAAUCUCCGACCCAUUUUACAAAUCUUACACCCACUCAAAUUUUUUUGGGUUUUUCAGCAAUUCCCCAUCAGAUUUUCAGUUUUUUUUUUUUUUUUAAAGAUUUUGCAGGCGAAUUGGUUGAUGUUGAUAGUAACAUUGAAUAGAAGACUCUUUGUGUUAUGAAACCUGAUCGUGCAAAGCUUAAGAUCAAAGUGUUAUUGAAUAAAAAAUGCUCUUGGAGCCUUGGAGGAGGAAGAAUGAUUUUUUUUUUGAAGAAUGAUUUCAAGGGUAUUGUGGCUCCUAACACGUUCAAGGUUGGGCUCGAGGAAGAUGGUUUGAGAUUGCUGCUGGUUAAACGUAGGUUGUUGUGUUUUUUUAGUACUCGGACUGGUACUGGGAGGGAUUUCCUAAGUGAGGGUGCAUCUCAGGCAAUGUCAGCUGGGACACAACUAAAGGAAGGUUGCCACAUAAACUGGAGUUUGCUGACACUAGGGAAUGCUAUCAGCUAAGGCUUUUGCAGAUCUGUUUCAUUUAUCAACACUAUUCCAGAGACUCCAGCUGAAAUCCAAAAAAGGGUUACUAUUGUGGAAAACUUUGACAAUUCUGAUUUACAAAGACCACACAGUGUGCUAGAAUUUUCACUAGAGACUCCAGUUGAAAUUCAACAAGCAGGAACAUUGGUUGAAAAGUCAGAGAGAUCUGGAUUACAAAGUUCUCACAGUGUUCUGGAGUCUUCACCAGAGACACCUGAUGAUGUCCAAAAAAUGGGACCACUUUUUGAAGAUUCAAUGAAAUUAGAUGCUUGAAGACCCCAAUGCGUGCUAAAAUCUCCACCUUAUCCGACACCCAUAUAAAUAAGUGCUGACGUGCAAAGACCAGGAAAGUUUAACACAACUCAAGGAAAUGGUCUAAUACGUUCCCAGUAUUUCCUUACAGUCCCUAUAGAGAAUCGUUGUAAGCUAGAUGAGUUGACAAAGAGAAUUUUGUUCUCGAUGAAUCAGAUGUAUCAGAUCAUGAUGGAGAAUACACAAAGCAAGGAGACAUUUCUAAAUUACAGUUUGAAGUGCCUAUGAUUAUAGCCAGGAAUUUGAAAAAAAUGGGAAUACUCUAAAGAAGUUUCACAGGAUGGAGAAACUCCAUGUAGUUUCCGUUGCCACGGGUAUGGUGUAUAGCAUGGCUUUAACUGAUGAUAGGGCGCUAUUUUACUGGGUUUCAUCUGAUCCUGAUCUCAAAUGCCAGCAGUUAUGUUAUCUUAAUGGAAAGAAAAUUGUCAGCAUUUCUGCCGGCAAGUACUGGCAUGGGGCAGUAACAUCGACUGGAUUACACAUUUACACCUGGGAUGGGAAGAAAGGUAAGGAUAAGACACCAGCAGUUACUAGGCUUCAUGGUGUGAAAAGAGAAACUAAAGUUUCCGUGGGUGAAACACAUUUACUGAUUGUUGGUUCCACUUAUCAUCAUGUCAGUGCUGUACUGUAAACAAUGUCUUAGGGGAGUUAGAUGAGGGAUUUAUGUACAAUGACAUGGAGUCUGACAGAGAUAGUUCUGGUUCUGAAAAGGAGAAUGUCGAUGACAAGUUAGGUGCUGAGUUUAAAAGGCCUUUGCGAGAAAGUGGCCACGCAGAGUUUGGUAGAACCACGAAAUGGUCUGCAAAUGUUGGAAAUUGCACAUACUUUGGGAGAAGAUGAUCUUCGGAAGUAUUGCGAGGUAUACUUUUGGUGUUAAAUUGUUGUCAAAUACUUAUUAAGUUAUUAUGGGUCUCAUCCUUCUUUGUUGUUGACAUAUAGCUGACAAGGAGUUGGUUGAUUUCAUUGAUUGUUUAUGACACUCUGGUUAUAUAAUUUAUAUGAGAAUAGAAUUUAGCCAUUUAGGUAGAAAGUGUUGGCAUGCUUUCUAUGACUUGUAUGGAUUUAAACAAAAUUCUAUAUGCUUUGCGAAGGGUGUAAGCAUUUUAUCUCGAGGAAAAAGGGAAACAUGUGCUGGUAAUGCAUAAGUUUUUCCAUUUUGUUUACAUUUAGUACACCUGCUGAACUGUUAGUUUUUAUAGAGGCUUGUCGGUGCAGGUGUUUUAAUUUUCUUUCAUGGUACUUGGAUUUGUUUUCCGCUCAUCUUCUUCAAGGAACUCAUUGUCCUCUUUUAUACCCCUUAAUAUAUUUUCUAUUUAUCACUUUCCUUUCAAAAAGAAAAGAAAACUGUCUUGUUACAUUAGAGCUUGAGAUGUCAUGUUGCUGGUGGUAACUCGGACUAUAUCAUGCACCCUGUAGACCAGUCAGAAUCAUGCUACAUCUUCUGGUGAGUAGAAUUGCUACUUCUGGUGACCAGUCAGAAAAUUGUCUUGUUACAUUAGAGCUUGAGAUGCAUGUUCACUUUAGCAUUUAUUUAGCUGGGGAACCGGGUGCGUACUUCUUAGAGCUAUAUUCUAGACAUAACUCUUUAUUAAAUGAAAGUCAGAAUUGCUUGAGUAAUUUCCUUUAAGUAUCAGUCAGAUAUCUUAUUUGAGAGUGUAUGAAUCCAUAUAUUGUUGUUGUUUACUUGUACUCCCUAAUAUUUAGACUUUUGAUCUCAACCAAAUGCACAUCAGAUCAGAGGAGAAAGAGUUAACCGAAGGAAUCUAUGAUAGAAGCUUAUUUUUGAAACUGAAUUAGGAACAAACCCUUUGAGGGGGGUUGUGGACCUCGAUGCCUCAAAGUUGACUGAGGGGAAGGUAAUCUUCCCGAUUCAUUCUUAUUAAUGUUUUCUCUUUGCUGGUAAAGAAUAGCUUUCGCAUAAAGAUGGCAAAAAUGAAGCAGUAAAGCAGAAAACCAGGAUCCCUGGAUUCCUGAUAAUGUAGAGGAGCCUAGAUUGAUUGACUGAACUUCCAGGAUUUUGUAGUUGAACUUCCUGUUUUCUUUAGAUGUUUUUUAUAUUAAAAAAAACAUUCAAUGCAGGAACUUCCUAGAUGUCAAACACCCUGUUAUCAAGAAAAAGAGGCAUUAUCUUUAGGUGAACGACUGGGUGAAUGCUGUUGUUGUCAAUGCAGUACAUCUAUGUUAUUAAGCAGCCGUUAUCUGAAUUCUUUUGUACAUAAUAAGGAGUUGUAAUUCUUUUGUACCUAUUUCCUAUAGACUAGUUGUAUUAUUGAUAUAACAGAACAUGAAUUUGUAAUCUAGAAUUACAAACACCCACAA
This is an RNA transcript of Spinacia oleracea (spinach), 3447 nucleotides long. RefSeq lists it as uncharacterized. The record is from RefSeq and is a predicted model, not a curated record. NCBI's taxonomy places the organism in Eukaryota, Viridiplantae, Streptophyta, Magnoliopsida, Caryophyllales, Amaranthaceae. The transcript has 7 exons.